This 462-nucleotide ribosomal RNA is filed under the name uncultured bacterium. RNAcentral's name for it is "partial 16S ribosomal RNA". It matches the Rfam family "Bacterial small subunit ribosomal RNA", at positions 28 to 507 of the family's 1533-position model. The record is from RNAcentral.
GACGAACGCUGGCGGCGUGCUUAACACAUGCAAGUCGAACGGCAAGGCCCUUCGGGGUACUCGAGUGGCGAACGGGUGAGUAACCCGUGGGUGAUCUCCCCUGCACUUUGGUUUAAGCCUGGGAAACUGGGUCUAAUCCCAAAUAGGUCCCCCCUCUUCAUGGUGUGUGGUGGAAAGCUUUUGCGGUUUGUGAUGGGCUCGCGUCCUACCAUCUUGUUUGUGGGGUAUUGGCCUACCAAGGCCACGCCGGGUAGCCGGCCUGAGAGGGUGACCGGGGACAAGAGGACUGAGAGACGCACCAGAGGCCAAUGGGAGGCAGUGGGGGGGAAUAUUACACAGUGGGAGCGAGCCUGAGACAGAGACGCCGGGUGAGGGAAGACGGUCUUUGGGUUGAGAAAAUCUUUAAGUAGAGACGAAGCGGAAGUGACGGUACCUAUAGAAGAAGCACCGGCUAACUACGUG